Molecule: ribosomal RNA, 1389 nt
Filed under: Triticum aestivum (bread wheat)
Lineage: Eukaryota; Viridiplantae; Streptophyta; Magnoliopsida; Poales; Poaceae
Description: partial small subunit ribosomal RNA
Source: RNAcentral
AUGUCGUCGAUCGGUAAGUGGAUCUUUCCUCCGUACAGUUCUAGCAGAUUGCUCAUUCUUUGGGAGUUCGCCGACAGUUUUGAAAGCCCAGAUCUGGCCCCUCUGGCAUUGUUAACGCCAGACCAAACCAACCCUGCCAUUCAGGCGGACUCGAAUGCUGCUCUGGAUGCGGGCAAUAAGUUGGCGUCGGCGGGCCGGGGAGGCCGCACUGUGGCGAGCGGUGGCGUCGGGAGGCAUCUCCGACUGUCCGCGCAGCCAACUGACAGGGUCAACCCAAAGGCGCUUGGUUGGACAAAGAGGUUACGCCGUAAUGCGCCACCUGACCGGACACCAUGUCCUUCUAGGAUGAGUGCACUAGAGCAGUCAAUUGGCAAAUGUGCAGAAGAGACUGCGAAAAGUGGGAAGCCGGAGGCGGAGAAUAGUAGAUCUUGUAGAUGCGAGUGCCCUGCAUUGAGAAGGCUCUUGCCGGCAGCUGAUAACAGUUCAUACAUGACAGAGCACUGUGGUGACACCCGAGCAAGAAUAGAGGUUCAGUUCCCGGACACGUCGAGCUUGGGGUCGACAGCGAGCGCUUGGAGCACGAACUUGACGCCGGAGCAAGGAGGCCAUGGCAUCGACGACGUGAGCGGAAAUAUUGGUUCUGUUGUGCUGUCUGUUGGUCUUCCGAACUUGGAGAGCUUUGCCCGUACGCUGCCGCCGCUUCCGAUCGCUGCUGCCGCGCGUGCCAUCUUCCGCGCCGCCGCCGCAUGCUGCUCUAUCCGCGUCGCCGCUGCGAUGUCAUCCUCCGCUAUGUCCGUCGGCCAAACUGACAGCGCCCUCGUCUCUUUCCCCGUCGCCACGAUCCCCGCCGCGCUCGCCGUCCCGACGAUCUCCGACCACCUCGGUUGCCACAACUUCAUGCUCUGGGGGGGGGGGGGCAUCACCAGCAUCGUUCUUGCCGGUGCCAACCUCCAUGGACACCUCGAUGGCACCAAGGCGGCACCGGCCAAAACACUCAUUGUCGGCACCGGCGACGCUGCCACUACCAUCAUCAACCCGGAGUACCACCAAUGGUGGGUUCAAGAUCAGCGCGUCAAGGGGCUUCUUCUCACCUCCAUGGAUGAGGAUAUUGCAUGCCAACUCAUUGGCUACGAGUCGGCGCAUGUGGUGUGGACAGCCAUCGCCGCCAUGUUCGGCGCCCAGAGCAGCGCCUAUGUCCGCCACAUCCGGCAACAACUUCAGUCACUGAGGAAGGACGAUCUAUCCGCCGCGGAAUACAUGCACAAGAUGAAGGCCCUAGCCGACACUAUGGUCACCCCGGCUCUCCGAUCCGUGAUGAUGAGCUUAUCGAUCACAUCCUCACCGGCCUUGGCUCUGCCUACAACUCCGUCGCCGCCUCCUUGGGCGUGA